Molecule: ribosomal RNA, 758 nt
Filed under: uncultured Enterobacteriaceae bacterium
Lineage: Bacteria; Pseudomonadati; Pseudomonadota; Gammaproteobacteria; Enterobacterales; Enterobacteriaceae
Description: bacterial SSU rRNA
Rfam family: Bacterial small subunit ribosomal RNA
Source: RNAcentral
AUUGAACGCUGGCGGCAGGCCUAACACAUGCAAGUCGAGCGGCAGCGGAAAGUAGCUUGCUACUUUGCCGGCGAGCGGCGGACGGGUGAGUAAUGUCUGGGAAACUGCCUGAUGGAGGGGGAUAACUACUGGAAACGGUAGCUAAUACCGCAUGACCUCGAAAGAGCAAAGUGGGGGAUCUUCGGACCUCACGCCAUCGGAUGUGCCCAGAUGGGAUUAGCUAGUAGGUGAGGUAAUGGCUCACCUAGGCGACGAUCCCUAGCUGGUCUGAGAGGAUGACCAGCCACACUGGAACUGAGACACGGUCCAGACUCCUACGGGAGGCAGCAGUGGGGAAUAUUGCACAAUGGGCGCAAGCCUGAUGCAGCCAUGCCGCGUGUGUGAAGAAGGCCUUAGGGUUGUAAAGCACUUUCAGCGAGGAGGAAGGCAUCACACUUAAUACGUGUGGUGAUUGACGUUACUCGCAGAAGAAGCACCGGCUAACUCCGUGCCAGCAGCCGCGGUAAUACGGAGGGUGCAAGCGUUAAUCGGAAUUACUGGGCGUAAAGCGCACACAGGCGGUUUGUUAAGUCAGAUGUGAAAUCCCCGCGCUUAACGUGGGAACUGCAUUUGAAACUGGCAAGCUAGAGUCUUGUAGAGGGGGGUAGAAUUCCAGGUGUAGCGGUGAAAUGCGUAGAGAUCUGGAGGAAUACCGGGUGGCGAAGGCGGCCCCCUGGACAAAACUGACGCUCAGGUGCGAAAGCGUGGGGAGCAACAAG